UGCAAUGUCGUUAAACUGUGCAUGAUAUAG
This 30-nucleotide non-coding RNA is filed under the name Rattus norvegicus (Norway rat). Lineage: Eukaryota; Metazoa; Chordata; Mammalia; Rodentia; Muridae. The record is from RNAcentral.